AGGGGGCUAGCGUUGUUCGGAAUUACUGGGCGUAAAGCGCACGGAGGCGGAUCGGAAAGUUGGGGGUGAAAUCCCGGGGCUCAACCCCGGAACUGCCUUCAAAACUACUGGUCUUGAGUUCGAGAGAGGUGAGUGGAAUUCCGAGUGUAGAGGUGAAAUUCGUAGAUAUUCGGAGGAACACCAGUGGCGAAGGCGGCUCACUGGCUCGAGACUGACGCUGAGGUGCGAAAGCGUGGGGAGCAAA
Molecule: ribosomal RNA, 244 nt
Filed under: uncultured bacterium
Lineage: Bacteria
Description: partial 16S ribosomal RNA
Rfam family: Bacterial small subunit ribosomal RNA
Source: RNAcentral